Rosa rugosa (rugosa rose) is the source of this 2010-nucleotide long non-coding RNA. RefSeq lists it as uncharacterized. The transcript is spliced from 2 exons. The record is from RefSeq and is a predicted model, not a curated record. Lineage: Eukaryota; Viridiplantae; Streptophyta; Magnoliopsida; Rosales; Rosaceae.
UCCCACUACAUACACACAACCGAAGAGGAAAAGAAAACCGCACGACGGAACGUGGGAGUCGAUCAAGGAGAGAUGAACUCACGACCAUUCCCAUCUCAGUUACAACUACCAGAUAUGAUCUAUAUAAUACGAGAAAGGUGAUGACCAACAUAUAAAGGGGAAAAGAGAAAAUUCGAAUACACCCAAAUCUCCAAUCGAAACGUUAUUUGGUUCCUAUUUUUGAGAUUUUGUAUUGACAGGUGGGUGUUUCACUGGUUUGGUUUUAAUUACACUUCUCUUUUCGUCAUCAAUUUCAAUUUUGGCUUUUGGAUAGGCUUCCUAUUGUUUCAUUCUGUUGAUUAUUAUUUGAAAUACCAAUUUUUAGUUUUGAAUUUUAGUUCAAACGUGUUUGAAGAUAGCAUGAUUUGUUUGGUUAAACACAAUGCUUGAAGGGAUACCGGUGGAUUGGAAGAAGGGACUUUCGAACUUCACUUUACAGGUCCACCCUUUUUGUUGAGUUAAGUGAUUCUAUGGGUUUGUAGUGAUGAUUCUAUUAUUUGUGUUAUUCAAUUUUCUCUUGGGCUGCAGAAAGCGCUUCGUUUGUUUUUUCUGUGGUUAUUUGGCACCCAUUAAAGAGUCUGGAGAACAGAGUUAUGCCUAAAUCUAUUAUCUGGGUUUCAUUAAGUUCAUUACUGAGUUUUAACUUUUCUUUUCAUUUAUAUUUAUUCAGACGUAUUUGAUGCUCUUUAUUUUUUUUUAUUUUUUUUUAUCUCUUGAUUCUUCUGUUUCAAACAGCCAGGAGUGAUUAACACCAUGUUUAGUUUGAAUGGAAAUCUCAUUUCAGGAGUGAUCAGCCAUGCAACUAGAGAAAAUUGACUGUGCAACCAGAUCAACCCAUCAACUCAUCUCAUCUCAAGAUAUGUUGUUCCUGUUUUUGAAUAUCAUUAUGUCCCUCAAUGAAAUUUGUCUGAUAUUCUUUCAUUAGGUAGUGUAACGUGUGGGAUUACAUUGCUUUCUUUCUUUCUGUUGUUUGAUAAAUAUGAUUAAAGACACAUACCAUUAUGCCUUGCAUUGCUUCUAUAAUAGUGAUGAUUAUGAUGAUUGAUAUUUGGUAAAACUAAAGCUCUGUGCUUUCUGUGGAUUUGCUUCAAGAGGCUUGGUUCUAUUCAGUGAUCCGUUUGGUAAGCAAUCUCAGCCAAUAUUAUUCUGUGGGGGUGUUUAUAUAUAGGUCUUAUGGGGACUUAUGUACUGAAAGAAGGUUCUUUCUCUCCUUCAUGAUUGAUAUAAGUUGAUUGCUAUUUCAUGUUACAGUGCUCAAGACUGGACUGCAGAUUAGAGAAAUAAAUAUUCAAGAAACACAUAGCUGGUGCUAUUUACGUUCAUGCAACUGGAGUCGAUGACCCAUGGUUGUUUCUAGAGUUUCAGUAGUGGUAAUUCUUGAUUUUUUUUUUAUCAUUUCAUUUAUAUAAGGCUUUGACCAAUUGAACUUACACAUCCAUUUUUUUUUAUUAUUUAUUUAUUUAUUUAUUUUGAGAAUGCAUCCAUUCUUUUAGUUGUGUCUGCAUUUCAGAGGAAGAUUAAAUUCCCGAAAAACAACCAAUUGGUAGGUUUUUUCAAUGAAAGCAUUAGUUCAGUUCCUGGCAAUGUAUGUCUGUUUGUUUUUCUCUAUUGCCUUUUUGCUUGAUUUCAGACAUAUUUGAUGCUUUUUUUUUUUGACUUACAGUUUUAAUGAAAGUUUCAAUCAAUGUAUGAAUUACUCAAUUACUUUUUGUUGUAUAUCUAAUAUUUGCUCCUUAUUGUUCUUCAGGCUAGGUGAACGUAUAUAUUGAUACUUCCUCUUUCCUUUUAUUUCUUUUCUUUUAUUGGAGUACAGAUGCAGGAGUUCGGGAUUUCUGUUCGGUUCAUGACUUGCUUAAUUUGAUGCCCAUUACGUUUUUUUUUUUCUUAUUCUUUUAUCCUGCUCACUUAAACCUUUUUAUUCAUUAGUUGUUGUUUUUAUUAAGUACAAUAAACUAUACUAUUGUUUCACUA